CAGUAGCCACGGUAAUACGUAGGGGGCAAGCGUUAUCAGGAAUUACUGGGUGUAAAGGGAGCGUAGACGGUUAAACAAGUCUGAAGUGAAAUGCCGGGGCUCAACCCCGGAGCUGCUUUGGGAACUGUAGAACUGGAGUGUCGGAGGGGUAAGCGGAAUUCCCAGUGUAGCGGUGAAAUGCGUAGAUAUUGGGAGGAACACCGGCGGCGAAGGCGGCUUACUGGACGACAACUGACGUUGAGGCUCGAAGGCGUGGGUAGCAAACUGGAUUAGAUACCCGGGUAGUCCCUGUCUCUUAUAC
This 301-nucleotide ribosomal RNA is filed under the name uncultured bacterium. RNAcentral's name for it is "partial 16S ribosomal RNA". It matches the Rfam family "Bacterial small subunit ribosomal RNA", at positions 509 to 807 of the family's 1533-position model. The record is from RNAcentral.